AGGACGAACGCUGGCGGCGUGCUUAACACAUGCAAGUCGAGCGGUAAGGCCUUUCGGGGUACACGAGCGGCGAACGGGUGAGUAACACGUGGGUGAUCUGCCCUGCACUUCGGGAUAAGCCUGGGAAACUGGGUCUAAUACCGGAUAUGACUUCAGGUUGCAUGACUUGGGGGUGGAAAGAUUUAUCGGUGCAGGAUGGGCCCGCGGCCUAUCAGCUUGUUGGUGGGGUAAUGGCCUACCAAGGCGACGACGGGUAGCCGACCUGAGAGGGUGACCGGCCACGACUGGGACUGAGACACGGCCCAGACUCCUACGGGAGGCAGCAGUGGGGAAUAUUGCACAAUGGG
RNAcentral lists this ribosomal RNA (347 nucleotides) under uncultured soil bacterium. RNAcentral describes it as "bacterial SSU rRNA". It matches the Rfam family "Bacterial small subunit ribosomal RNA", at positions 26 to 375 of the family's 1533-position model. The record is from RNAcentral.